UACAGAGGGUGCAAGCGUUACUCGGAAUUCCUGGGCGUAAAGCGCGCGUAGGUGGUUUGUUAAGUUGGAUGUGAAAUCCCCGGGCUCAACCUGGGAACUGCAUUCAAAACUGACAAGCUAGAGUAUGGUAGAGGGUGGUGGAAUUUCCUGUGUAGCGGUGAAAUGCGUAGAUAUAGGAAGGAACACCAGUGGCGAAGGCGACCACCUGGACUGAUACUGACACUGAGGUGCGAAAGCGUGGGGAGCAAACAGG
Molecule: ribosomal RNA, 253 nt
Filed under: uncultured bacterium
Lineage: Bacteria
Description: partial 16S ribosomal RNA
Rfam family: Bacterial small subunit ribosomal RNA
Source: RNAcentral